UAAGCAAGAUGUGAAUCGUAUGGCUCAACCAUAUAACAUUUCUUGAACUGGCAAGCUAGAGGACGAGAGAGGUUAUUGGAAUUUCUGGUGUAGGAGUGAAAUCCGUAGAUAUUAGAGGAACACCGAUGGCGUAGGCAGAUAACUGGCUCGUUCCUGACGCUCAGACACGAAAGCAUGGGUAGCAAACGGGAUUAGAUACCCGGUAGUCCAUGCCGUAAACUAUGGAUGCUA
Molecule: ribosomal RNA, 231 nt
Filed under: uncultured Candidatus Saccharibacteria bacterium
Lineage: Bacteria; Candidatus Saccharimonadota
Description: partial 16S ribosomal RNA
Rfam family: Bacterial small subunit ribosomal RNA
Source: RNAcentral